This 73-nucleotide small nucleolar RNA is filed under the name Crocodylus porosus (Australian saltwater crocodile). Lineage: Eukaryota; Metazoa; Chordata; Crocodylia; Crocodylidae. The record is from RNAcentral.
UCCUGAUGAUGAUAACUUUGUCCAGUUCUGCUGCUGAAGGGACAGCGAUGACAACUUACAAAGCUGAAGAAGA